This 771-nucleotide unclassified non-coding RNA is filed under the name Hevea brasiliensis (rubber tree). Lineage: Eukaryota; Viridiplantae; Streptophyta; Magnoliopsida; Malpighiales; Euphorbiaceae. The record is from RNAcentral.
AAAUUAUCCAUGGGAUGGAACAGAGAACAAAAAAAAAAUAUUAUUAUGGCUGUCCAGAUGAUGAAACAUUCAAAUACAUGGCUACCAUCUACAGUCGUUCCCAUCAUAACAUGUCUCUAAGUGAGGAAUUUCCAGGAGGAAUUACAAAUGGUGCAUAUUGGUAUCCAAUCUAUGGAGGCAUGCAAGACUGGAAUUACUUACAUGCUGGUUGUUUUGAACUUACUCUAGAGAUUAGUGAUGAUAAAUGGCCUAAUGCGAGUGAGCUUCCUACUCUUUUUGAGUACAACAAGAUGAGUAUGCUAAAUCUUGUUGCAAGCCUUGUGAAGACAGGAAUACACGGAAGGAUUUUCUCAUCAGAUGAGGGCAAGCCUUUACCUGCCUCGAUAGCUAUAAAAGGCUUAAAUUCUACGAUACAUGCAAGGGAAACGUUAGCCGAUUACCACCGCUUGCUGGUGCCUGAUAGAAAAUAUGAAGUGAUCGCGACAAUGCCAGGAUACAAGCCGAGGAGUACGAGCAUUAUGUUGGGGGAAGAAGCAAUGACAGUGGAUUUUGUUAUGGAUCCAGUUAUCACUCCCAUAAACAGCUUUUUGCGAAGGGGAUGGAGUUGCAGCUUGCCAGGUCCUCAUUUAGAAGUUUUUUUGAUUUUGGUUUUGGUAUUAGUUUCAGUAUUCCUUUGCUUUUUAUUAAAGAGGAGAGUAGUUUUAAACUAUCCAAAACAGAGACAGACAAAAAGGUCUGUUAUUGGGGUAUGAAGUUUAACACACGUUUUCG